Molecule: transfer RNA, 66 nt
Filed under: Stylochus fafai
Lineage: Eukaryota; Metazoa; Platyhelminthes; Polycladida; Stylochidae
Description: tRNA-Met
Source: RNAcentral
UAGAAGAUAAGUUAUUACUUAAACUGUGGGGCUCAUGACCCCAAAAAGAUUAUUUAUCUCUUCUAA